UACGAAGGGGGCUAGCGUUGCUCGGAAUCACUGGGCGUAAAGGGCGCGUAGGCGGCCGGCCAAGUCGGGGGUGAAAGCCUGUGGCUCAACCACAGAAUGGCCCUCGAUACUGGACGGCUCGAGACCGGAAGAGGUUGGUGGAAUUGCGAGUGUAGAGGUGAAAUUCGUAGAUAUUCGCAAGAACACCAGUGGCGAAGGCGGCUCACUGGCCCGGUACUGACGCUGAGGUGCGAAAGCGUGGGGAGCAAACAGG
RNAcentral lists this ribosomal RNA (253 nucleotides) under uncultured bacterium. Its description in RNAcentral is "partial 16S ribosomal RNA". It matches the Rfam family "Bacterial small subunit ribosomal RNA", at positions 524 to 776 of the family's 1533-position model. The record is from RNAcentral.